GGGGUUACAUAUUAGGAUUUUAAAUCUAAACAUUGAGUUUAUUUUUUCUACGGUGGUAAUGACAAAGGUAAUUUAGUGGUCACAUUAGGCUAUUUUUAUUAGUAUAGGAGGUGGGGAAUUUAGAUGCAAAUUUAGAGGGUGAUUUAAUUUAUAUUAUUUUUAAUAAUGGCAUAUAUGGGUAACUUAGGCGCAAAUUCAGAGGGAUACUUUAUACUUUUUUUUUAAAUAGCAUAUAUGGGUAAUUUUGAUUAAGAUUAAGGAUUUCUAUAGAAUAUUUUCAUAAUGAUAAAAAUGGAUAAUUUAGAUAUAAAUUAAGGACUGGUUCAGUUAAUCCUGAAUUAGGAGGGGUUGAGGGGGAUUACCUCCCCAACAGACUUGUAGCGGAAUUAUUCCUCUCAAA
Molecule: long non-coding RNA, 400 nt
Filed under: Setaria viridis
Lineage: Eukaryota; Viridiplantae; Streptophyta; Magnoliopsida; Poales; Poaceae
Description: long non-coding RNA (SVIR_LNC009692)
Source: RNAcentral